Molecule: long non-coding RNA, 808 nt
Organism: Exaiptasia diaphana
Lineage: Eukaryota; Metazoa; Cnidaria; Anthozoa; Actiniaria; Aiptasiidae
Exons: 2
Source: RefSeq, a predicted model, not a curated record
CCUGCUGGAAUGAAAGGAGUUUUAUGAAGUUGCUAGCUCUCAAAAUCAAGUGAAAUUGGCGGCGUGUACUAGAAUCUUUGUCUGCCCGAGACAACAUCAUUGUAGUAACUUCCGAGCAAGUCCACCUAUGUAAGGAUAAACAAACCGAUUCUAGAUCGCAAAUCGCUCAUGGAACCGGCAGGUUCAAAUUAUUAUAACACCGAUGAUAGCUACAUUAAAGAAAAUGAAAGCUUGGACGAGAUUUUGCCAAUUAAUGUGGACAUCAGCUGCAAACCAAAGCGUGAGCAACGAAGACUAUCUUUACCCGUUGUGGACACUGCAAGUGGCGCUAGGUUGAUGGCAAAUACCCGCAAAUCUCCUGGAUUUCAAGUGGGUAUAACAAACUCUUUCCGGGAAACUUUUGACAAUUCAGAUAGCAAAGUUUAUCCCGAAAGGCGAAGUACAAGUAUGCCUGAGUUUUACGGUUUAUCGGAAUUAAGAGCAAAGCACGAAAAACUUCAUAGAAGAAGAUCAACAAGGAAAGUUUGUGAAGAGGAAUGCAUAAAGCUUCCUCCAAUUUCUUGCAGCAAACCGAACAAUUUGAAAGAAGAUUUGUUAACCCCUGCGGGAUCUCUUCGAAAAAAAACUUUUUUGCCUCGCAUAGACCCUAAUAAAACGAAACAAUGUUUGAUGCAAAACCGAAAAGCGGACAUAUCUGAUAUAAGAUAUAAUCCCGAAGCCAUGUCAAAUUAUAAAUUAUAAAAUUAAUGAACAGUGUCAUCAAUGUAUAAUAAUAUUUGCGAACAUCAUGAACAAGUUUACCAACUGA